RNAcentral lists this long non-coding RNA (820 nucleotides) under Marmota monax (woodchuck). Lineage: Eukaryota; Metazoa; Chordata; Mammalia; Rodentia; Sciuridae. The record is from RNAcentral.
UUUUUCUUUCAUUUUGGUUUUGUUUUUUGAAGGCAUAACCACAAGGACAGGAAGAACAGAAGGGAAGGUUAGUAGAACAGAAGUUUGGAAGCUAGAAAGCAGGUAAAGGGUGGUCAGAACAUGGAGCCAUGUUGAGGAAAGUCACAACCCCCCAGUCAGCAGCCCAGAAUCCCCCAGGUUUUCAGGAAUCAGUCACCUCUGGAAGUGGGGGUGAAAGGGAUACAGAAAAUAAAGAUUACCAAGGAAAAGUCUUUCAUCUAAAAAAAAAAAAAAAAAACAGUCAGACAGGCAUAGUGGUAUGUGCCUGUAAUCCAAGUGGCUUGGGAGGCUGAGGCAGGAGGAUUAUGAGUUCAAAGCCAGCCUCAGCAACUUAGCAAGAUCCUAAACAACUUAAUGAGACCCUGUCACAAAAUAAAAAAUAAAAUGGGUUGGGGAUAUGGCUCAGUGGUUAAGAGCCCCUUGGGUUCAAUCCCCAGUACCACGGGAAAAAAAAAGCAAUCAAACACCAGAUUUGUUGUCACAUCCCUGAAAUUCCAGCUACUUGGGAGGCUGAGACAGGAAGAUCCCAAUUUCAAGGCCAGCACAAACAACUAAGUGAGCCCCUGUCCCCAUCUCAAAACAAAAAAUAAAAAAAUGUCUGAGAUGUAGCUCAGUAAUAGAGCUUUCCUUGGUUAAUCCGUAGUACUGCAAGGAGGGAGAGUAGGCAGAGCCUGGAAAACCCCUUCUGUACCCAGGAAAAGACUGGGGCUGGGCUGAGGUUGUGGCUCAGCAGGAGAGUGCUUGCCUCGCACCACAUAAAAAAAUAAAUAAGUGAAAUAAA